GACGAACGCUGGCGGCGUGCCUAAUACAUGCAAGUAGAACGCUGAAGGAGGAGCUUGCUCUUCUGGAUGAGUUGCGAACGGGUGAGUAACGCGUAGGUAACCUGCCUGGUAGCGGGGGAUAACUAUUGGAAACGAUAGCUAAUACCGCAUAACAGUAGAUGCUGCAUGACAUUUGCUUAAAAGGUGCAAUUGCAUCACUACCAGAUGGACCUGCGUUGUAUUAGCUAGUGGGUGGGGUAACGGCUCACCAAGGCGACGAUACAUAGCCGACCUGAGAGGGGGAUCGGCCACACUGGGACUGAGACACGGCCCAGACUCCUACGGGAGGCAGCAGUAGGGAAUCUUCGGCAAUGGACGGAAGUCUGACCGAGCAACGCCGCGUGAGUGAAGAAGGUUUUCGGAUCGUAAAGCUCUGUUGUAAGAGAAGAACGAGUGUGAGAGUGGAAAGUUCACACUGUGACGGUAUCUUACCAGAAAGGGACGGCUAACUACGUG
RNAcentral lists this ribosomal RNA (495 nucleotides) under uncultured bacterium. RNAcentral's name for it is "partial 16S ribosomal RNA". It matches the Rfam family "Bacterial small subunit ribosomal RNA", at positions 28 to 507 of the family's 1533-position model. The record is from RNAcentral.